UGUAUUAGGAAUAUGGCUGUAAACCUGCAGGCUAGAAAAGCUUUGUAACCAUGCAUUCACCCGUGUAUCUCCUAGGCCAUGACGAAGCAAUCGUACUGAGUACACCAGGCCAUCAUGAAGCAUUCACCCUUCAUUGGUUACUGGACAACAAGAGAGUUUGAACAGUUAAGUGUUCUGGGGACCAAACCUUAUACAUGGAUUUUCAAUUGUGGGCAGGGUGGAACCCCGAACACCAAGUUGUUCUACGGUCAGCUCUACUCAUCCUUGGGGAAGAACGAAGCAAGCACGACCUUUGUGAACAACAGAAAAGAGGAAAAUAGAAAUAGAUUUUCUGUUUUAA
Molecule: long non-coding RNA, 340 nt
Organism: Prionailurus viverrinus (fishing cat)
Lineage: Eukaryota; Metazoa; Chordata; Mammalia; Carnivora; Felidae
Exons: 2
Source: RefSeq, a predicted model, not a curated record